RNAcentral lists this ribosomal RNA (765 nucleotides) under Vibrio sp. ACH-53. Its description in RNAcentral is "bacterial SSU rRNA". It matches the Rfam family "Bacterial small subunit ribosomal RNA", at positions 45 to 789 of the family's 1533-position model. The record is from RNAcentral. Lineage: Bacteria; Pseudomonadati; Pseudomonadota; Gammaproteobacteria; Vibrionales; Vibrionaceae.
GGCCUAACACAUGCAAGUCGAGCGGAAACGACACUAACAAUCCUUCGGGUGCGUUAAUGGGCGUCGAGCGGCGGACGGGUGAGUAAUGCCUAGGAAAUUGCCUUGAUGUGGGGGAUAACCAUUGGAAACGAUGGCUAAUACCGCAUAAUGCCUACGGGCCAAAGAGGGGGACCUUCGGGCCUCUCGCGUCAAGAUAUGCCUAGGUGGGAUUAGCUAGUUGGUGAGGUAAUGGCUCACCAAGGCGACGAUCCCUAGCUGGUCUGAGAGGAUGAUCAGCCACACUGGAACUGAGACACGGUCCAGACUCCUACGGGAGGCAGCAGUGGGGAAUAUUGCACAAUGGGCGAAAGCCUGAUGCAGCCAUGCCGCGUGUAUGAAGAAGGCCUUCGGGUUGUAAAGUACUUUCAGUUGUGAGGAAGGGGGUAGCGUUAAUAGCGCUAUCUCUUGACGUUAGCAACAGAAGAAGCACCGGCUAACUCCGUGCCAGCAGCCGCGGUAAUACGGAGGGUGCGAGCGUUAAUCGGAAUUACUGGGCGUAAAGCGCAUGCAGGUGGUUCAUUAAGUCAGAUGUGAAAGCCCGGGGCUCAACCUCGGAACUGCAUUUGAAACUGGUGAACUAGAGUACUGUAGAGGGGGGUAGAAUUUCAGGUGUAGCGGUGAAAUGCGUAGAGAUCUGAAGGAAUACCAGUGGCGAAGGCGGCCCCCUGGACAGAUACUGACACUCAGAUGCGAAAGCGUGGGGAGCAAACAGGAUUAGAUAACCUG